ACUCAAAUGAAUUGACGGGAGCUCAAACAAGCAGUGGAGCAUGUGAAUUAAUUCGAUACAACGCGCAAAACCUUACCAAAUCUUGACAGCUUUUUUAAAGAAGAUUGUAUAAUCUAUCUAUUAACUAAAAAAGAACAGGUGCUGCAUGGCUGUCGUCAGUUCGUGUCGUGAGAUGUUUGGUUAAGUCCUCUAACGAACGCAACCUUCAUUUAUUUAUUACAAUUAGGCUUUAACUUUAGCCAAAAUUAAUUAAUAAAACUGAAGUCGAAAGACUUAGGAAGGGGGAGAUGACGUCAAGUCCUCAUGGCCCUUAUGAUUUGGGCUUUCCAUGUGCUACAAUGGUUUCUACAAAAUGUUGCUAUGGUGUAAAUCAAAGCUAAUCAAUAAAAGAAAUCUUAGUUCAGAUUGUUUUCUGCAACCCGAAAACAUGAAGGAGGAAUUGCUAGUAAUCGUAGAUCAGAAGGCUACGGUGAAAUGUUCCCUGAGCUUUGUACACACCGCCCGU
RNAcentral lists this ribosomal RNA (505 nucleotides) under uncultured bacterium. RNAcentral's name for it is "partial 16S ribosomal RNA". It matches the Rfam family "Bacterial small subunit ribosomal RNA", at positions 899 to 1397 of the family's 1533-position model. The record is from RNAcentral.